Molecule: ribosomal RNA, 32 nt
Filed under: Ascochyta medicaginicola
Lineage: Eukaryota; Fungi; Ascomycota; Dothideomycetes; Pleosporales; Didymellaceae
Description: partial 18S ribosomal RNA
Source: RNAcentral
CCAAAGGCGGCGGACUGGAGUCUGAUCGUAAC